UAGUAACAAAGAAACAGAAUUUUCGAGGAUGGGGCCCAGAAAUCAGGAUUUUACAAAGAUUCCCAGGUGAUUCUAAUGUGCAGCCAAGGUUGAGAACCACUGGUGUAGGUGAUCCCACCGCACACCGAGGCUGAAGCAGCACUAUCCUAGAGACGAUCUCCAAUUAAGUGGUCCUUUCCAGGGCUACUGUGAUGAUCUUGGAUAUUCCUAGCAAUUACUCUUAGCAGAAUUUCAAAGCACCAGAGAUUAGAGCAAAAUGCACAGAAAGAAAAUAUUCCUAUGACAUAAACAAGAUCUACUCUGGCAAAAAGAAACAAACCCCAUACCGUAUGGUAAAGAAGUAAUAAUAACUUGCACACAAGAAAAAUUCUUACUACAAAAAAAAAAAAUUCCUUUCAUAGAAUGUUCAUUCUGGCAUCGCUGUAAGUACACAGGCACUGUUAAAUACCUAAGCAUUAAAUCAUGCCUUGAAACACUGGCGCAAACGCUAAAGGCAAAUUCAAACAGGAUUUUUCAUGCUGGGGAUGUAUGAACAACAUAAAAAGAGCAGUACUGGGUUUGAAGCCAGGAAAAAACCACCACGUUAGUAAAUCACUUCACUUUUGGGGGUCGGGGAUGAGGGAGGUUUGUCUCAGUUUCUACCUCAUCUACGAGGAAUCGUAAAAGUUAGUCUAAUUAACAGUGGUAAGAGGUACAUAAGCUCACGUAAGCUGUUUCUCAAAUGCGAAAAUUACUCUUCCCCAGCCUGAGAAUAAGAUGACCUCUGGCCACGCUUCCUUUCCCCCUGAGACUCUCUCCAACCCUCUCCGAGGAGGGAGGUGCGGAGGGUUCGAGGUCCGCUGAGUUCGCGGCGGGACCACCUGGCAGCGAGGGGGCGGGGCGGGAGCCAGCCUUUGGGUUAAAGCCGCGGCGGCCCUCGCCUCCCAGCAGCAUCCCUCCCAGUUCCGGAGACACAGGUCCGGCUCAGCGUGCGCCGCGGAGCAGCUGGACCGUGCGGAGCUCCGUCCGCAGAGGAGCCCUUCCCGCUGGGCGCCCGGAACUCGGGGUCCUGGGUCCGGCCGGCGGGGUGGCCGAAGCCGGCAGCAAAGGUGCGGAAGAGGCAGAACUGCUUUUCUUUGGAUAACUGACUGAAGGAGUCUCCUGUGUAACAAAGAUGGAAGUCACAGUAUGUUGUUACAUACACUUAAAAAUAUCUCUCUAUGUACAGGAACUUGCAGAUCGAUGUAAACAUACAUUACUUCCCAAGUACAUUCCUCCCCUUCUUCCCAGAGGAAAAAGAAAAAAGCCAUCCAACCAGGCAACCCCUUUAAAAUAACUUUAAUACAAAGAUGUAAAUAUCUCUAAAUCAAAAAGGUUCUUCUGACCGACUGGGUGUCAUGGAAGAAAACACGGAAUGGAAGUGAUGACGACAGCUUGACUUCAGAUGGAACUGGACUGUUUAAAACUGUGUAUCCAGGAAAAAUAGGCACUGAUUUCUAGAAGGAAAUUCACUCCUUACGGAAGCUAUUUAUUGAGCCAAUAUGGCUGGUUAACAUUUUCACUAGUAUAGUCACCCAGUGCAGGACGCGGCCCUCAGCCGACACCAGCACAGCCGGGCGGCCCGGGCACUGCCGAGGCUGUCCCCACUCCGGGCCUGGAGGACCAUCUGAUCCAUCUCCCGGGCCUGGUCCAUGUCUUCCCAUACUGCAACUGUCCAGCAUGAUACAAGGUACCCUGCUGCUUCCUCACUUCAACUACCCUUCAAGGUCUGGCCUCAAUGCCCGUGACACCGCCUGAGACCCGAAGCGCCCUUGCUUUCUCCUCUCCUGGUGCCAUGGAUGCUGCAGUCUCCUCCACGCUCGGGACAUGCUCCUGCAGCUGAGAUGCCCUCACCCCUAUGCACACCCACGGGCCUGUCUUCUGUCUCCGGCAAAGGAAAGGAUUCAGAGGUGCCAGCCCAUAGGCUUCUCUUCUGCGUUACUGCUCUUGACAGCCACCAGGAGGAGCCACACGUCUCCCAGGCUGGACGAGCAAUCUUCCAGGUGGAAGCAGGAGGAUACAAUUCCCAUGCCAGGAAUGCUUCUUGUCACUGGAUAAAGCCCAAAUCUCCAUAAUACAGCCUUCUGUUUUUAUACGA
Molecule: long non-coding RNA, 2116 nt
Organism: Myotis myotis
Lineage: Eukaryota; Metazoa; Chordata; Mammalia; Chiroptera; Vespertilionidae
Exons: 4
Source: RefSeq, a predicted model, not a curated record